Molecule: long non-coding RNA, 538 nt
Organism: Rosa chinensis
Lineage: Eukaryota; Viridiplantae; Streptophyta; Magnoliopsida; Rosales; Rosaceae
Exons: 3
Source: RefSeq, a predicted model, not a curated record
AAUUUUAGUGACAAUCUUGUUGUUGCUGAAGCAAAGUUUGCAGCCUUAACUACUCCUCAACUGGGUGGAAGAAAAGAAGAGUGGAGAGGCAGAAAGUAAGCAGCUGCAAAUGAGAUCUAACAACGUUUGAUGAGUUUAUGCGCUGGUUUCCAUUCCAUUCAUUCUUGAAAGUUUUAAUACCAAACUACUGCACAGAACAUGGAGAGCGAAAAGGUCUAUGAUAAGGUGACUUAGUUUAAGAUUGCAACAGCCUUGAAGAUACAGUUUCUUAAUGAAGAAGUUGCUGAGAAUUCUUUCCCACGCAAGCUACAAGUAAAAUUUGUUUUCUGAUUGAAUCUUACAUUGCAGAUAUUCAUUUGAUGGAGAUAUAUUGGCUUUUGGUUUCAUUUGAAUAUCUGAAAUUCAAAUGAUCUUUAGUGGUUACUGUCAAAACUCAAUUUUAGUGAAAACUCUUCUAAUUACCUAAAAUCUAUGAACACCAAUAAUGGUGCACCUCAAUUUUUGGUAGGAGGCGUUUUGGUUAUUGAAAUAAUGGAAU